Molecule: small RNA, 210 nt
Filed under: Arthrobacter saudimassiliensis
Lineage: Bacteria; Bacillati; Actinomycetota; Actinomycetes; Micrococcales; Micrococcaceae
Description: ydaO-yuaA
Rfam family: c-di-AMP riboswitch aptamer (ydaO/yuaA leader)
About the family: This family represents a conserved RNA structure found upstream of the ydaO and yuaA genes in Bacillus subtilis and related genes in other bacteria. The ydaO/yuaA element is thought to act as a genetic "off" switch for the ydaO and yuaA genes in its native state. It is believed that the element may be triggered during osmotic shock leading to activation of ydaO, a predicted amino acid transporter gene, and members of the yuaA-yubG operon which code for KtrA and KtrB K+ transporters.
Source: RNAcentral
CCGGCCCAAAUGCCUAACCCUGCCGUUGGGCCGGAGCACCAUACCGUUCGCAGGCGGGGGCGGAGGACCCAAUUCUUUGGCAGCAGCCGCUGCCUCGGGGUGAAGCCUCCACAGCAAGCAGCAUGGCAACAGCCGUGCUGCCGGCCGGAGGCCGAGUGUUUCUCCACUCGAAUCCGACAGCUAACUUCGCAGGCUUGAGAGAGGGAACCA